CAUAAGCGUAACCCUAGCGUAACCCACAGAGGUCUAGGUUCUUAUAAUAAUGCAUAUUGGAUAUUAUGCACAAAUGAACAUAUUGCCACUAGUUGGAGACCCAAUAAGAACAUGUAGUAUGUAGAUAUAAUUGUGGAGCACGAGGCACGACAUUUGUUUUCCUGCCGCCCACCAAAAAACCUGAUUUGGAACAAUACAAAUGUUAACAUUGAGAUCUUGUGUUUGCCACGGGACAAGUUGAUCACAUUACACCUAUGGGAUAGAUUUCAAUAAAAUGUAUGUAGUACCUACAUAGUUAGAGAUUGAGGUAGUCAAAUAUAUGUAGAUGCAAAAAUCAGCUGCAUGAAAAUGAUGCAAUGACUUAAUAUAAUUACAAUACUGGCAUGUUUCGAUACUAUAUAAUAGUAAAGUUUUUCUGGAUAGAAAUCAUAUUUGAAUCGACAAUCAGUCAACUCAGAAACCUAAUCCAAUCUAAUAAUCAUGAAGGUCCUCAUUUUCUUCGCUCUCGUCUGCCUUGCCAUUGCUUCAGCAUCAGUCAUUGGUCCAUUGGGAUUGGGUAGCGUAGCUGUUUCACCUCUUGGAGUCCCAUUGGGCGGACCAGUUGUUCUUGGAGGACAUGGAUUAGUUGCUCCUGGAAUUGUUGGACUUGGCGGACUCAGAAUUGUCGGUUAAGUAAAAUGCCUACAAUAAAA
Long non-coding RNA from Eupeodes corollae, 692 nucleotides. RefSeq lists it as uncharacterized. NCBI's taxonomy places the organism in Eukaryota, Metazoa, Arthropoda, Insecta, Diptera, Syrphidae. The record is from RefSeq and is a predicted model, not a curated record. The transcript is spliced from 2 exons.